GCACCCGUAGCUCAGCUGGAUAGAGCGCCGGUUUCCGAAACCGUAGGUCGCAGGUUCGAGUCCUGCCGGGUGCGCCA
Molecule: transfer RNA, 77 nt
Filed under: Alphaproteobacteria bacterium
Lineage: Bacteria; Pseudomonadati; Pseudomonadota; Alphaproteobacteria
Description: tRNA-Arg
Rfam family: tRNA
About the family: Transfer RNA (tRNA) molecules are approximately 80 nucleotides in length. Their secondary structure includes four short double-helical elements and three loops (D, anti-codon, and T loops).
Source: RNAcentral